Molecule: long non-coding RNA, 2842 nt
Organism: Phyllopteryx taeniolatus (common seadragon)
Lineage: Eukaryota; Metazoa; Chordata; Actinopteri; Syngnathiformes; Syngnathidae
Exons: 3
Source: RefSeq, a predicted model, not a curated record
UGAAUACAAUACAAUAACAUUGAAUGUUCAAACUGAUAAUUAUUAUUUGCAAACAUUCAUUCAUUUUGGAUUUAAUACCUGAAACUGCAGAAAAAGCUGUGACAGUGGCUGGCUUACCACAGUAACCUCACCCUUUUAAAAAAUGCUCUGUAUAGGAACUGAGGACACUAAUUGUUCAAGUUUUGUAGGUGGAAUUCUUUGCCAUUCUUGCUUGAUGUACAAUUUCAGUCGCUCAACAGUCUGGGAUCUCCAAUGUGGUAUUUUGCGCUUCAUAAUGCGCCACACAUUUUCAGUAGGAGACACUGUGGACUCCUGGCAGGCCAGUCUAGUACUUGCACUCUUCUACUAUGAAGCUACGGUGUUGUAAUGUGCAGACUGUGGCCUGGCAUUGUCUUGGUGAAAUAAGCAGGGAUGUGCCUGAAAAAGACAUUGCUUGGUUGACAGCAUAUGUUGCUCCAAAACAUGUUUGUACCUUUCAACAUUAACAGUGCCUUCACAGAUGUGCAAGUUACCAAUUCUAUGGGCACUAACACGCCCCCAUACCAUACCCCAUAACACAGAUGCUGGCUUUUGAACUUUCCACUGAUAACAGUCCGGACAGUCCUUUUCUUCUUUGACCCCGGAGGACACGACAUCCACAAUUUCCAAAACCAAUUUGAAAUGUGGACAUGUUACUUUAACACUUUGCGUCAGUCCAUUUCAGAUGAGCUCGGGCCGAGGGUGUUGUUGAUAUGAGGUUUAACUUGCAUUUGUAGAUGAUGAACUAAUUUAACUGACAAUGGUUUUCUGAAGUGUUCCUGAGGCCAUGUGGUAAUGGUCUAUAGAAUAAUGCAAUUUUUUUUAAUGCAUUGCUGCCUGAGGACUCAAAGGUUAUGGGUAUUCAAUGUUGGUUGUCGGACUUAUUGAGGUUUCUCCAGAUACUCUGGAUCUUUCGAUUGUAUUGUGGACCAUAGAUGAUGAAAUCCUGAAAUUCCUUGCAGUUGUAGGUUUUAAAAAAUGUUCUUAAACUUUUGGAGUAUUUUCUCACGCAGUUGUUCACAAAGUGGUGAACCUCGCCCCAUCCUUGCUUGUGAACAACUGAGCAAUUUAGGGAAGCUCCUUUUAUACCCAAUCAUGAGACUCACGUUUCCAAUUAACCAGUUCACCUGUGGGACGUUCCAAACAGGUGUUUUUUGAGCGUUCAAUUUUCCCACUCUUUUGGUUCCUGUCUCAGCUUUUUGGGAAUGUGUUGCAGGCAUCAAAUUCAAAGUAAGAUAAUGUUUGGAGAAAAAAAAAAAAAAAAGUUCAUCAGUGAAGAUUACACAUCUUUGCAGUGCCUUCAGUUGAAAAGGAUUUGUAAAUCAUUGUAUUGUGUUUUUAUUUACAUUUUGGACAAUGUCCCAACUUCAUUGGAAUUGGGGGUUAUAUAACAUCACCUGCUUUGGGUGAAUAAAUCCCUUUGCCACUAUUUGAAUUAAUACAGUGUCUGAUAAAUGUGGAAAAUUAAACAAACUGCACAGCAAAGCAUAUUUUGACCAAAUACUGUAGUCACUAAAGAUGGGUACACACAUAAUGACUUUCAACAUCUUAACCCAUUUAAACAAAAAAAGUGAGACACCACACAUGAGGAAUAAGUCGGUGUGUGCUUACUGCUGUUAUAGUGUGUCGUGUUCUUGAAAUGACCAACACCCCACAUUCCACACAACUAUAUUGCCACCGGCAAUGAGGUUUCCUGCCCUACCCAAAAGUCAGUUGUAGUACCGAGGCUGACCUGUAAGUGGCAGCACGGUUUGAUCGCAAGGGAACGACUCAAAUUGGGCCGGAUUAUUGGUAUGGUUGUACCAUUUAACAUUUACGAUUGUCGCCCCAACUGUUUAAAAAAACAUUUCUUACAUUUCUUACAACAUUUCUGCAGUCACCCCACCACAGGAUAUAUAAUUGCUUGGAAUGCUCAAAUUUGGCCCGAUUGUAUGUGAUUACCCUGCUUUAGUCCACGUUGAGGUAAGUGAGCUGUGAAUUACUGUUAGUAAUUACUUACAAUUAGUUACUGUUUCCCUGCCACUUGAUAACCUUUCCUGUCUGAGCUCUAAAAUAUUGUUGUUGUUAUGUCCCUGCUAGUUGAUGACUCUUCCCGUCCAGGAUUCGUCCACCUCAAAACUGGUCUGGGGGCCAUGUGUGUAAAUCCAGGUCAGCCGGGGCGCACGACCCCUUACCCCGACGCGUUCCAAAUGCGACCGAGAGAGAGAGCGCAAACCUUGUGGCCUCCCCCUGACGGGCAGCAUCCAGAGCCAAUGGGACGAGGUGGCCUCCGAGAUGUCGGCGUGUGUUUUGCGAACGUGUACGGGCAUGUCCCCUCUCGACCGUGCCAGUCUGUCAUCCAUAACCCUGGAAAAUCCACAUAGGAAGAAUACCUUUCUCAACCCACACAUCCCGCAAUAUCAUCAUUCUGCUCCAAGACAUAAAUGUUCAUGCGAUGAGUGCAAUUUAGGAAGCAACCUGAUCCCCAUUAGCAAACAUUGGCACUGUCCUGUUCUAAUUGUGUUUUUGGCCAAUUAGACAAACAGAGACGGCAACAGGAAAUGAGACGAAAUGUGAUUACUUCCAAUCAUUUCUAUUCAUAUGUCUUUUUUUUUUUUUUUUCUCCUCUGCUGAGUUGUCUCACCCCUGCUCUUGUGUUUGCUUGUUGUGAAAAAAAAGCGAUAAGAGAACAUGACAAGACAAGCUUCACAGGAAUAUAAUACUGGACUUUGUGUCUGUAUGACUGCAUUAUUAUAUGGCUUCCUGCUGGUCAAGGCUGGUACACCAUAAGGAGCAGCACAAUGAAUUGAGUUGCAGCAUUAAAUUUUGAUGCAAACUGUCUCAU